GACGAACGCUGGCGGCGUGCUUAACACAUGCAAGUCGAGCGGUAAGGCCCUUUCGGGGGUACACGAGCGGCGAACGGGUGAGUAACACGUGGGUGACCUGCCCUCAGCUCUGGGAUAAGCCUGGGAAACCGGGUCUAAUACUGGAUAUGACUCCAUGACGCAUGUUGGUGGGGUGAAAGCCUUGUGCGGCUGAGGAUGGGCCCGCGGCCUAUCAGCUUGGUUGGGUGGGGUGANGGCCUACCAAGGCGACGACGGGUAGCCGGCCUGAGAGGGCGACCGGCCACACUGGGACUGAGACACGGGCCCAGACUCCGUACGGGAGGCAGCAGUGGGGAAUCUUGCG
This 343-nucleotide ribosomal RNA is filed under the name uncultured bacterium. RNAcentral's name for it is "bacterial SSU rRNA". It matches the Rfam family "Bacterial small subunit ribosomal RNA", at positions 28 to 368 of the family's 1533-position model. The record is from RNAcentral.